RNAcentral lists this ribosomal RNA (490 nucleotides) under uncultured bacterium. Its description in RNAcentral is "partial 16S ribosomal RNA". It matches the Rfam family "Bacterial small subunit ribosomal RNA", at positions 30 to 507 of the family's 1533-position model. The record is from RNAcentral.
AUUGAACGCUGGCGGCAGGCCUAACACAUGCAAGUCGAACGGUAACAGGAAGAAGCUUGCUUCUUUGCUGACGAGUGGCGGACGGGUGAGUAAUGUCUGGGAAACUGCCUGAUGGAGGGGGAUAACUACUGGAAACGGUAGCUAAUACCGCAUAACGUCGCAAGACCAAAAAGGGGGACCUUCGGGCCUCUUGCCAUCUGAUGUGCCCAGAUGGGAUUAGCUAGUAGGUGGGGUAACGGCUCACCUAGGCGACGAUCCCUAGCUGGUCUGAGAGGAUGACCAGCCACACUGGAACUGAGACACGGUCCAGACUCCUACGGGAGGCAGCAGUGGGGAAUAUUGCACAAUGGGCGCAAGCCUGAUGCAGCCAUGCCGCGUGUAUGAAGAAGGCCUUCGGGUUGUAAAGUACUUUCAGCGGGGAGGAAGGGAGUAAAGUUAAUACCUUUGCUCAUUGACGUUACCCGCAGAAGAAGCACCGGCUAACUCCGUG